RNAcentral lists this transfer RNA (72 nucleotides) under Lentinula aciculospora. It matches the Rfam family "tRNA". From Rfam's summary of the family: Transfer RNA (tRNA) molecules are approximately 80 nucleotides in length. Their secondary structure includes four short double-helical elements and three loops (D, anti-codon, and T loops). Lineage: Eukaryota; Fungi; Basidiomycota; Agaricomycetes; Agaricales; Omphalotaceae. The record is from Rfam by way of RNAcentral. RNAcentral also lists the same sequence under 5 other names.
UCCAAUGUGGUGUAGUGGCUAACAUUGCUGUCUUUCACACAGCAGCCCGGGGUUCGAUUCCCCGCAUUGGAA